GAUGAACGCUAGCUACAGGCUUAACACAUGCAAGUCGAGGGGCAGCAUGAACUUAGCUUGCUAAGUUUGAUGGCGACCGGCGCACGGGUGAGUAACGCGUAUCCAACCUGCCCUUUACGCGGGGAUAGCCUUCUGAAAGGAAGUUUAAUACCCGAUGAUAUCUCUAGAAGACAUCUGAAAGAGAUUAAAGAUUUAUCGGUGAUGGAUGGGGAUGCGUCUGAUUAGCUUGUUGGCGGGGUAACGGCCCACCAAGGCGACGAUCAGUAGGGGUUCUGAGAGGAAGGUCCCCCACAUUGGAACUGAGACACGGGUCCAAACUCCUACGGGAGGCAGCAGUGAGGAAUAUUGGUCAAAUGGACGAGAGUCUGAACCAGCCAAGUAGCGUGCAGGAUGACGGCCCUAUGGGUUGUAAACUGCUUUAUAAGGGAAUAAAGUAGGGAGUCGUGACNCUUUUUGCAUGUACCUUAUGAAUAAGGACCGGCUAAUUCCGUGCCAGCA
Molecule: ribosomal RNA, 498 nt
Filed under: uncultured bacterium
Lineage: Bacteria
Description: bacterial SSU rRNA
Rfam family: Bacterial small subunit ribosomal RNA
Source: RNAcentral